AGCAAUCAAACAAAGAGAUUGCAAUUAUACAAGACUUGCACGAGGGCAAGCAACAACAGAAGCGAAAGCUCUAAGCUAAAACAUACAACCAUACAUAAUAUUUGAUUACAUUUAAACCAAAUACUAGUAAACUAAAACCAUUACAUCCAUUUACUUUCAUUCAUAAUAUCUUUUUACAUCAUAUCAUUCCACCAAAAAUACAUGAUUUGUUUACAACUUUUACAACUAUAGAUCAACAAAAAAAAGUUGAUACAUGAACCAAAAAGGGAAUGACUAAAAUGCAUAACUCCGGUGGCCACUAGCUAUGGCGCGAUACCCUUGCCUCGAUCCUCCGCCACCCCGCUCGUGCUCGGAUCUGUAGGGUGUGAGAACUACAACGAAGUUCCCAGUGGAUUCGGCAACCGACCUCGCCGACUUACCCACUAGGUCUAUUCAGGCAUAAGUAUUUAAAAGGAAAGAAAAAUUGUAACCAAUGCUAAUGCUAAUACUAUGCAUGCAAGAAAGCUGUCAGAAGAUAUAUAAU
Molecule: long non-coding RNA, 523 nt
Filed under: Ananas comosus (pineapple)
Lineage: Eukaryota; Viridiplantae; Streptophyta; Magnoliopsida; Poales; Bromeliaceae
Description: long non-coding RNA (ACOM_LNC002161)
Source: RNAcentral